This 295-nucleotide unclassified non-coding RNA is filed under the name air metagenome. RNAcentral's name for it is "partial contains small subunit ribosomal RNA, internal transcribed spacer 1, and 5.8S ribosomal RNA". The stretch from base 1 to 46 matches the Rfam family "Eukaryotic small subunit ribosomal RNA", at positions 1786 to 1831 of the family's 1831-position model. The record is from RNAcentral.
AAGUCGUAACAAGGUUUCCGUAGGUGAACCUGCGGAAGGAUCAUUAUUGAAUUUUCUGAGGGUUGUUGCUGGGUUCCCCCCUAACAAGGGGUUCCAAAGUGCACGCCCUUGUCCAUUCUCACACCCCUGUGCACCUAUUGUAGGUUUGGUGGCAGAGCUGACUUUUCUUUUCAUUUGUGUUGAGAAAGUUGGUUUGAAAGCCUUGCCUAUGCUUUAAUACACGCUUUAGUCUAUGAAUGUCACUCUGCGUAUAACGCAUUAAAUAUAACUUUCAACAACGGAUCUCUUGGCUCUC